RNAcentral lists this ribosomal RNA (440 nucleotides) under uncultured Bacillota bacterium. Its description in RNAcentral is "bacterial SSU rRNA". It matches the Rfam family "Bacterial small subunit ribosomal RNA", at positions 917 to 1359 of the family's 1533-position model. The record is from RNAcentral. Lineage: Bacteria; Bacillati; Bacillota.
GGACCCGCACAAGCAGCGGAGCAUGUGGUUUAAUUCGAAGAUACGCGAAGAACCUUACCCAGACUUGACAUCCUUCUGAAAGCUUCCUUAAUCGGAAGCCUCCUUCGGGCAGAAGUGACAGAUGGUGCAUGGUUGUCGUCAGCUCGUGUCGUGAGAUGUUGGGUUAAGUCCCGCAACGAGCGCAACCCUUGUCCUUAGUUGGCAUCAGUUCGGCUGGCAACUCUAAGGAGACUGCCGGGGAUAACCCGGAGGAAGGCGAGGAUGACGUCAAAUCAUCAUGCCUCUUACGUCUGGGGCUACACACGUGCUACAAUGGUCGUUACAAAAUGUUGCGAACUCGCGAGGGUAAGCAAAUCAUAAAGACGAUCUCAGUUCGGAUUGUAGGCUGAAACUCGCCUGCAUGAAGUCGGAGUUGCUAGUAAUCCUAAAUCAGAAUGUUA